Molecule: small RNA, 1082 nt
Filed under: Spisula solidissima (Atlantic surf clam)
Lineage: Eukaryota; Metazoa; Mollusca; Bivalvia; Venerida; Mactridae
Description: cnRNA86/123/186
Source: RNAcentral
ACAAUGAUCAUCUCUGAAAAAUCKAGGCCAAGUUCGAUAUUGGGUCAUCUGCAGUCAAAAACUAGGUCAGUAGGUCAAAUCAUAGAAAAACCUUGUCUAGACACUAGAGGUCACAAUUUUGACAUUAUCUUUUUGAAACUUGGUCACAAUGAUCAUCUCUACAAAAUCUAGGUCAAGUACAAUAUUGGGUCAUCUGGGGUUAGAAACUAGGUCACAAGGUCAAAUCAUAGAAAAACCUUGUCUAGACACUAGAGGUCACAAUUUUGAGCUGUUCUUUUUGAAACUUGGUCACAAUGAUCAUCUCUACAAAAUCUAGACCAAGAUCGAUAUUGAGUCAUCUGGGGUCAAAAACUAGGUCACUAGGUCAAAUCAUAGAAAAACCUUGUCUAGACACUGGAGGUCACAAUUUUGACAUUAUCUUUUUGAAACUUGGUCACAAUGAUCAUCUCUACAAAAUCUAGGUCAAGUAUGAUAUUGGGUCAUCUGGGGUUAGAAACUAGGUCACAAGGUCAAAUCAUAGAAAAACCUUGUCUAGACACUAGAGGUCACAAUUUUGAGCUGUUCUUUUUGAAACCUGAUCACAAUGAUCAUCUCUACAAAAUCUAGGCCAAGUACGAUAUUGGGUCAUCURGGGGUCAAAAACWAGGUCACUAGGUYRAAUCWUAGAAAAACCUUGUSUAKRCAMUAGAGAUCACAAUUUCAGCAUAAUCUUUUUGAAACUUGGUCAGAAUGAUCAUCUCUGCAAAAUCUAGGCCAAGUUCGAUAUUGGGUCAUCUGCGGUCAAAAACUAGGUCACUAGGUUAAACAUAGAAAAUCGUUGUGUAGAAACUAGAGGUCACAAUUUUUGCUUGAUUUUAAUAAAACUUGGUCUCAUGAUCAUCUCUGAUAAAUAUAGAUCAAGUUUGAUAUUAGGUCAUCUGGGGUCAAAAACUAGGUCACUAAGUCAAAUCUUAGAAAAACCUUAUGCAUGCAAUAAAAGCUGUAUUUUUCACUGGAUCAUCAUGAAAGUUGGUCACAAUGUUUGUCUACAUUAAUUCUAGGUCAUUUUUGAAUAUGGGUCAUCUGGGAUCAAAAAUGACCUA